RNAcentral lists this transfer RNA (76 nucleotides) under Nitrososphaeria archaeon. Its description in RNAcentral is "tRNA-Val". It matches the Rfam family "tRNA". Rfam says of the family: Transfer RNA (tRNA) molecules are approximately 80 nucleotides in length. Their secondary structure includes four short double-helical elements and three loops (D, anti-codon, and T loops). Lineage: Archaea; Thermoproteati; Nitrososphaerota; Nitrososphaeria. The record is from RNAcentral.
GGGCCGGUCGUCUAGCCUGGUCUUGGACAUCUGCCUUACACGCAGAAGGUCACAGGUUCGAAUCCUGUCCGGCCCA